Falco peregrinus (peregrine falcon) is the source of this 1636-nucleotide long non-coding RNA. RefSeq lists it as uncharacterized. The transcript has 2 exons. The record is from RefSeq and is a predicted model, not a curated record. NCBI's taxonomy places the organism in Eukaryota, Metazoa, Chordata, Aves, Falconiformes, Falconidae.
GAGCAGCACUCACUGCUCGCUUCAGCAGCACGGGGAACGGACCGUUUGGGCAGGCCAGACUGUCCGUGACGGAUGAACUGCAAGAAACACACUUCAUUCAUUGGCCGGACUGGGCUGACAUAUGUUACAGCAACAACCCAAAAUUUAAGUAAUAAUAUUCAUGCAAUACCUUCUUCCUUCAUUUAAUUACAGCAGCCACAAGAACAAGAUACCCAUUUUUCACCUUUCCCACUCCCUUCCAAUAGAUGGUAUGCUAAAAAAGUAAGGUCUGAUCCUUCAUUUCUUACACAUCCCGGCCCUGAGAUCUGGUCUUUGAUUAGGACGAAGUAUAGAGUGUUUUGAGCAAUAUAUCAUCUGAAGCUGCAGGUCUCAGCCGUGAGACCACAGCCCCGAAGGAGCCUUCCAUGCCUCCUAAGCGGUGUGCUGCUGGAGAAGUGGUAAGAACGAACCUGGGCAGGUAGGGUGGCUGGAGAGGCUCUCCUGAGGGGGAGGAUCGUGGCUGCAAGCCCAAUUUGCAGUGGCCUCCUCCUCGGCAUAGCUUGUUCUAGUGUUGCUGCAAAGUCCUACUGACCCCGUGAGAGAGCAGCCGCUGGUCCCACUCCGCUGCCUGAGCAUGCAAGACACUGGUGAGACGCGCGAGAGGUGCUGGGGCCGGAGCAGCAGCAGCUCCGGCUGAGUGAGCACAGGGACUGCGUCCCUCUGCUUGGCCACGCUGGGCCCGGGAGUCCAAAGUGGUCCCCCAGGGCAUGCCGGGUCCCUGCCUCAGCCACAGGCCCCCAGCCACUCUGCCCUGGGGCACUCCUCCAUCCUGCGUUCUGGGGUUUUGGAGCGCAGAAACAAGAUGGGAGACAACCAUAUGCUAAAGGAGAUGGGAGCACCUUCAGCUCCUGAAGUUUGGGGGUUGCUAACCUAGGGGAAAAGGUUGGAGUUGAUUCAAGAUACAGUAUGCAGCUGUACAAAAAUGCAUAGUUUGUUUGUAUACAUUCAAUUUCAAAGAUCAAAGGAAAAUUUUUUGCUAUGUAGUUUAAUCACCAUCUGCUUUCAACAAAAAUGCGACCUGACAAAGCUACGGGAGACCAGCUGAGCAUGCAGCUCCGGAGUUAAUGGUAGCUGAAUGGCAUUUCCCAAACAAAGAAUUAACUUCUUUUUCUUCUUGCUUUUUGAGAUAAAGUAGUUUUUCACUUGAAGAUUAUUGUUUCUGUAAUAAUGUUUAAUAGAAUUUGGGAUUUUGGGAGAUUCCAAUUCAACCAUGGUCAUCUGAGUAUUGGUGUACCCUGAUCCGAGGUUUAUUAACAAGUAUAAGCCCUGUAAGACAAAGAAACAAACCAACAGAAAUCUAGUUUUAACUAUGGUAUGUGAGCUAGAUUAAAAUGCAAUUCUUUUAAAAUGCUGAAAUCCUAGUUCAGUAGUGAGUAGUGCUUUUUUACUUUUUUGGCAAUAGCUGAGCUAGUAUUUAGAAAAUUCUACAAGUUUGCUCACUUUUGCUUUUAUUUCAGUUAACACUUUGGAACUAGCUGCUUCCCAUGAGGAAUGUCUAUUGUCCUGAGCAUCCCUGAACGUGCAACAGUAAUGUACCAGGCAGGAUGGGCCUAAAGACAAUUAGAAAACCUUGGUUUAAAAGAACUUUUUAAAUCUU